Papaver somniferum (opium poppy) is the source of this 328-nucleotide long non-coding RNA. RefSeq lists it as uncharacterized. The record is from RefSeq and is a predicted model, not a curated record. The transcript is spliced from 3 exons. NCBI's taxonomy places the organism in Eukaryota, Viridiplantae, Streptophyta, Magnoliopsida, Ranunculales, Papaveraceae.
CGGCACAGACAAUUUCGUUAUAUUUUCUAUAUUGCCGGCCUUUUCUCUGAUAGUGCUUCCCUUCCGUUAACGAAUUAUAAUUUUUAAGCUUAUUGGAAGGCUUAAUUCUGUGUUAACAAAUGUUGUCACGAAAUCAGUUGAAAGUGCAAAAAAAAGGGGAACUGCGACAAUUUGAUGCGUAUAGUCAAGGAUGAGAUGCUGGAGAACUGUGGGAAUGAAUCUGUGGUGCUGAUAAUCACUGGAACGUAUGUGAAGGAUCAUUUGGGUAGUAAGUUUUCUUCAUAUUGCUUUUGUGCAUGAUAGUUAAUUUUGUGUGAUUGCAUAUCUU